Molecule: ribosomal RNA, 401 nt
Filed under: uncultured bacterium
Lineage: Bacteria
Description: bacterial SSU rRNA
Rfam family: Bacterial small subunit ribosomal RNA
Source: RNAcentral
UGGGGAAUAUUGGACAAUGGGCGCGAGCCUGAUCCAGCCAUGCCGCGUGAGUGAUGAAGGCCUUAGGGUUGUAAAGCUCUUUCGCCGGUGAAGAUAAUGACGGUAACCGGAGAAGAAGCCCCGGCUAACUUCGUGCCAGCAGCCGCGGUAAUACGAAGGGGGCUAGCGUUGCUCGGAAUUACUGGGCGUAAAGCGCACGUAGGCGGUUUCUUAAGUCGGGGGUGAAGUCCUGGAGCUCAACUCCAGAACUGCCUUCGAUACUGGGAAACUUGAGUUCGGGAGAGGUGAGUGGAACUGCGAGUGUAGAGGUGAAAUUCGUAGAUAUUCGCAAGAACACCAGUGGCGAAGGCGGCUCACUGGCCCGAUACUGACGCUGAGGUGCGAAAGCGUGGGGAGCAAAC